GCAGCAGGUUGGUUUGUCGCUCUCUUUAAAAGGAGGGAGGAAAGUCCGGGCAACGCAGAGCACCAUGUUUCCUAACGGGAAGCUGUUCGUGAGGGCAGAUUAGUGUAACAGAAAAUAACCGCCUUGUUUUAUAACAUGGUAAGGGUGAAAAGGUGGAGUAAGAGCCCACCGGGUGUUGUGGCAACACAGCAUGCCGUACGCAUUAUGGGUUGCAAGGCCAUGUAUAUCGGAUAAGUAGGGCUGCUCGUCCGACGCCGAGGGGUAGGCCGCUUAGAUAAAUGACAGACACCCAAUUUAAUUGGGCACAGAACCCGGCUUACAGACCGGCUGCUUUU
RNAcentral lists this RNase P RNA (335 nucleotides) under Bacteroidales bacterium. RNAcentral describes it as "RNase P RNA component class A". It matches the Rfam family "Bacterial RNase P class A". From Rfam's summary of the family: Ribonuclease P (RNase P) is a ubiquitous endoribonuclease, found in archaea, bacteria and eukarya as well as chloroplasts and mitochondria. The record is from RNAcentral. Lineage: Bacteria; Pseudomonadati; Bacteroidota; Bacteroidia; Bacteroidales.